This is a long non-coding RNA of Rhagoletis zephyria (snowberry fruit fly), 179 nucleotides long. RefSeq lists it as uncharacterized. Lineage: Eukaryota; Metazoa; Arthropoda; Insecta; Diptera; Tephritidae. The record is from RefSeq and is a predicted model, not a curated record.
CGGACAGACAGACAUGGCUUAAUGGACUUCUCUAUUCAUUCUGAGCAUUUAUGUAUACAUUUGUCUAUAUCUAGCUCGAUUCGUUUCGGCUGUUACAAGCAAUCGUUAUGUGAACAAAGUUAAUAUACCCUUGUGCACAAGUGCGCUCGGGUAUAAAAAUAUUAAUUUUAAGGUUUUAC